UAGCCAAGAAUGAUCUUUUAGCUGGAGUC
RNAcentral lists this non-coding RNA (29 nucleotides) under Mus musculus (house mouse). Lineage: Eukaryota; Metazoa; Chordata; Mammalia; Rodentia; Muridae. The record is from RNAcentral.